AACAAUGCAAACAUAUGAGGAAUAAAGAAUUGUUGACUAAUGAUAUCUCAUGGAUGGGUCGAGAAUCGACCUGCUUUGAUACCAAAUAUAACACCCCAAAUAAUAUGUAUCUAGAAUCCUAUUAUUCAAAUUGUUAUAACAUGGUACUAAGUAUAAUAAAAAACAUCUAAAUGACAUCACAAAUGAGCACGACGCUAAGUCCAUAACAGAAUACAUACAUAAGUAAAUGUGUAAUACAAAAUAUC
This 245-nucleotide long non-coding RNA is filed under the name Lathyrus oleraceus (garden pea). RNAcentral describes it as "Pisum sativum (pea) long non-coding RNA (PSAT_LNC032271)". The record is from RNAcentral. Lineage: Eukaryota; Viridiplantae; Streptophyta; Magnoliopsida; Fabales; Fabaceae.